AUUUUUAAGGCAUUUAGUGCAUUUUCAGUUAUGGUCGUGGACCGUGCACACACUUCAGUGAAUGAAAAACUGCAUCAAGCAUUACUUCUUACAUGCGUGAAGCAUUUUACCAUAACUAGCUGAAUCAACGGACACUGUAUGGCAAGGCGAACAAGCACACUAAAUAAGACGACCCAUCAUAAUUCCAAGCUAUUUUUACAGACACAUUUCACUGGACUAUGUUGUGAUUAGCUUUUUUCGUAAGCUUCAGAAGGUUAUCUUGGAUUGAAACGACACUUUGCAAUUUUACACUUUUUUGUAUUAGUUCUGAAGACCAAAUUUACAAAAUUGAACUGGUGGUGAGUUCAAUCUGGUCUGAAGCUUCUGUCUACUAUCUUUUUUGCAGGUCGAACAUAAAAGGAUGCACAUUGGUUUUUUUAGAUUGAAUAUAACGUUUCAUGAAGAAACCUUGAGGAGAAUGGAUGAUCGAGUAGCACUCAAGAUGGCAAGGUGGUUGAGAUUUACGAAAUGUUGAAGCUUGAGGACUCAUGGGUCCAAGAGUACUACAGUGCAACAAACGACCCAAAAUUCAUACCAGCAGCACAAGAAAUAUGCAAACAGGGUGCACACAUACACCGCGUCAACUAGCGUAAAUAGAAACGACCUGGACUAGCUGCAGCCGAGAGGCGUCAGUUUUCAUUUGGUUGACAAUCGUCUACAGUGGUGCAUUUGAGUACUAAAACCCUUCCGUUCGUCUCC
This is a non-coding RNA of Triticum urartu, 738 nucleotides long. Lineage: Eukaryota; Viridiplantae; Streptophyta; Magnoliopsida; Poales; Poaceae. The record is from RefSeq and is a predicted model, not a curated record.